Molecule: long non-coding RNA, 342 nt
Organism: Oncorhynchus tshawytscha (Chinook salmon)
Lineage: Eukaryota; Metazoa; Chordata; Actinopteri; Salmoniformes; Salmonidae
Source: Ensembl
GGGGAGGAGAGAGGGGAGGAGAGAGGUGAAGGAGAGAGGGGAGGAGAGAGGGGAGGUGAGAGGUGAAGGAGAGAGGGGAGGAGAGAGGUGAAGGAGAGAGGGGAGGAGAGGGGGGAAGGAGAGAGGGGAGGAGAGAGGGGAGGAGAGAGGGAGGAGAGAGGGGAGGAGAGAGGUGAAGGAGAGAGGGGAGGAGAGAGGGGAGGAGAGAGGGGAGGAGAGAGGUGAAGGAGAGAGGGGAGGAGAGAGGUGAAGGAGAGAGGGGAGGAGAGAGGUGAAGGAGAGAGGGGAGGAGAGAGGUGAAGGAGAGAGGGGAGGAGAGAGGUAAAGGAGAGAGGGGAGGAG